AGGCAGCAGAGGAAAUCCCACAACCAUGGAGAUGGGUUCAUGGGCUCAGGUCUCUUCUGGGCUCUAAACAGCCUGCUACAGUUCUUUGCAAGUCCUUGGUCAGCAACCCCUCUUGUUCCCCUCAGGAAUGUUGUGAACAUCUCCCCCCAUUCAGCCUCAUCAUCCUCACUCUGGAAGGUAGACUGGACACCAUUAACUUACGAAGAGAGCAACGGAAAUGAGGGAAGAAGCGCGUCAGUCCCUCCCACCACAUCUACGCGGUCUUCUCUCUCCACCAAGGCCAGAGGAAGACAUUUACUGUUUGCUGAAUUAGAAAUCAGACGGAAAACCAUCCCAGGCUUUGAGUGCUCAAAGACAUGAUCCAGAAGUCAAGCCUUUCUUCCCAUUCUAUUAUACCCUUCUCAGGAUCAGGCACCAAGUUCAGAAUAAUACAACUGAUGAGGUAUUUUACACCAAAACCCAUCCUUAGCUGUUCUCCUAGAUGCCGGCUAGUACCUGACUCACAGUGUGACCUCACAAGCAAAG
RNAcentral lists this long non-coding RNA (525 nucleotides) under Mustela putorius furo (domestic ferret). Its description in RNAcentral is "lncRNA (ENSMPUG00000027942.1)". Lineage: Eukaryota; Metazoa; Chordata; Mammalia; Carnivora; Mustelidae. The record is from RNAcentral.